RNAcentral lists this unclassified non-coding RNA (233 nucleotides) under Hevea brasiliensis (rubber tree). The record is from RNAcentral. Lineage: Eukaryota; Viridiplantae; Streptophyta; Magnoliopsida; Malpighiales; Euphorbiaceae.
UAAUCAGGUUAGCAGUUUCUGCAUGAGACAUGUUUCUUGAUCAGCGGAUGCAUAUUGAUACUUUUUGCUAUCGAUCUGGAAACUUGCAAGGUGUAUAUAUAAUGUUGUAAUCUUGUCCUGUAGACCUGGGUAAGAUUUGUGGAUCUUGUGAUAGAUUACCCUGGAGACUUCUGCUUCUGUUAUGUAAUUCAGACUGAAAAAAAGCUGUUGUGACCUGAAAUUUUAUCAAAGUU